Molecule: non-coding RNA, 828 nt
Organism: Rattus norvegicus (Norway rat)
Lineage: Eukaryota; Metazoa; Chordata; Mammalia; Rodentia; Muridae
Source: RefSeq, a predicted model, not a curated record
AGACAGAAACGUAGCACACCUGUCUCCAGAGGCUUCACUCAGCGGCUGAAAGCCACAGCCAAUCCUCAGAUGGAGCUCAAUCUUCAGGAAACAUCUCAACGAAGAACAAGAGAGGCUGGAGAAGAAUGGGGAAGGGUUUGAUCUCUGAAGUUCCUCAGUGUCCACUAGCACAGCACUUGUCCUUGGGAGAUGACAUCUUUCACUCUUCCUGACUGUUGCACCAAUCAGAAUUACAAGCUCUGUGGAUGAACCUGUAAAAGAGGACAGUUGCUCUUGGGCCAAUAUGGAGGUUCCUGACCUCUCAGCAAGCUCACGGCUGACUUUUGAGGUCUCUUGAGGGUGAGCAAAAUGAAGACACACAGAGUAGCCUCAGGUUGAGUCAGCCAGGCCCAGACGGCUCAGUGGUGUCUCUCAGAUUCCCAGGCCCUCCCUGAGAUUGAACACACUACACAGUUUAAGAGGAUUAGGGGAUUACCAGGAAAUGCAGUUGCUCAGGUGUCUGGCUCUGUAGGAGGGAAAUAAAUCACAGUGGGAAGCUUCAGGACAGUCAGGUGACCUGAGCCCUCACAGAGUCUAAGUCCAGACUCACAGACAUUCAUCUGUCCACAAGUCUCCUAAACACAGGCCUUGACUGACCUGCAGUCCAGAGUAUGUUAUUAUACAGUGUCGCUUAGAGAGAGGACAUACUUUCCAAUUAGGCCUUUUCUGUGUCACACUGAGACUGGGUUUAUGGUACAGCUGAUGCAGAUGGGGACUGGCCACAAGUGGCAGUCUAUCGCAGAUCAUGAAAUAAAUAAAUAAAUAAAUAAAUAAAUAAAUAAAUAAAUA